This 779-nucleotide ribosomal RNA is filed under the name uncultured Actinomycetales bacterium. RNAcentral's name for it is "bacterial SSU rRNA". It matches the Rfam family "Bacterial small subunit ribosomal RNA", at positions 703 to 1482 of the family's 1533-position model. The record is from RNAcentral. Lineage: Bacteria; Bacillati; Actinomycetota; Actinomycetes; Actinomycetales.
GGAACACCAAUGGCGAAGGCAGGUCUCUGGGCCAAUACUGACACUGAGGAGCGAAAGCGUGGGGAGCGAACAGGAUUAGAUACCCUGGUAGUCCACGCCGUAAACGGUGGGCGCUAGUUGUGGGAACCUUCCACGGUUUCUGCGACGCAGCUAACGCAUUAAGCGCCCCGCCUGGGGAGUACGAUCGCAAGAUUAAAACUCAAAGGAAUUGACGGGGCCCCGCACAAGCAGCGGAGCAUGCGGCUUAAUUCGACGCAACGCGAAGAACCUUACCAAGGCUUGACAUAUACAGGAAUAUGGCAGAGAUGUCAUAGCGGUAAAACGUCUGUAUACAGGUGGUGCAUGGUUGUCGUCAGCUCGUGUCGUGAGAUGUUGGGUUAAGUCCCGCAACGAGCGCAACCCUCGUUCUGUGUUGCCAGCAUUUAGUUGGGGACUCACAGGAGACUGCCGGGGUUAACUCGGAGGAAGGUGGGGAUGACGUCAAAUCAUCAUGCCCCUUAUGUCUUGGGCUGCACGCAUGCUACAAUGGCUGGUGCAAAGGGCUGCAAUACUGCAAAGUGGAGCGAAUCCCAAAAAGCCAGUCUCAGUUCGGAUUGGGGUCUGCAACUCGACCCCAUGAAGUCGGAGUUGCUAGUGAUCGUAGAUCAGCAACGCUACGGUGAAUACGUUCCCGGGGCUUGUACACACCGCCCGUCACGUCACGAAAGUCGGUAACACCCGAAGUCAGUGGCCCAACCGUAAGGGGGGAGCUGCCGAAGGUGGGAUCGGUGAUUGGGACG